RNAcentral lists this transfer RNA (524 nucleotides) under uncultured Prochlorococcus sp. RNAcentral's name for it is "partial 16S-23S ribosomal RNA intergenic spacer". The stretch from base 210 to 282 matches the Rfam family "tRNA". The record is from RNAcentral. Lineage: Bacteria; Bacillati; Cyanobacteriota; Cyanophyceae; Synechococcales; Prochlorococcaceae.
CAGGGAGACAACAAAAUGUUAAAUAUUAAUUUUGUCACCUUAGGUCGAUCGGUAUCUCACAUUCUUAGUUUAUUAAGAAUUUUAUUUCCUAAGUUUUUCUAGGUCACACCCAUUACUUUUCCUGGGCCAUUAGCUCAGGUGGUUAGAGCGCACCCCUGAUAAGGGUGAGGUCCCUGGUUCAAGUCCAGGAUGGCCCAUAUCUCUAUGUUGGGGGUAUAGCUCAGUUGGUAGAGCGCCUGCUUUGCAAGCAGGAUGUCAGCGGUUCGAGUCCGCUUACCUCCACUGAUUUCCACCUCUUCCAUAUUUUUAGAAGGGAAAUGUUUUGAGUGGUGAUCAAAUUCUGAACGAAUCUAGCUUCCUAAUUAAAUAAGUUAAGAUGCUGGACUCAUUGAAUUAAAUUCAUUGUUUUCAGAGAACCUUGACAACUGCAUAGAUUAUUUUUAAAGACAAUAAGCAUCUUUAAUGAUGCAGAUUUUUAUUUGUGCGAAUGCACUAAUAACAAUUCUAUUAAGCUGAUGCUUCAA